UCCUGGUCCAAGUCCAGUGGUGUUUACAACUAAUUGAUCACAACCAGUUACUGAUUUCUUUGUUCCUUCAUUUCCACUGCUUCACUUGACUAGCCUAAA
Molecule: unclassified non-coding RNA, 99 nt
Organism: Homo sapiens (human)
Lineage: Eukaryota; Metazoa; Chordata; Mammalia; Primates; Hominidae
Rfam family: Y RNA
About the family: Y RNAs are components of the Ro ribonucleoprotein particle (Ro RNP), in association with Ro60 and La proteins.
Source: Ensembl